UGUCUACGUCUUUGCAGCAAAUUGUGAGUAUACUUUAAUUUGUCGAACCAUAUUUCAUUUUCAUGAGUAGUCUCUUUUUCUUUGUUUUCUUUUUCUUCUUCUUUAUUUCUUUCGUCCUUCUUUACCUUGGCUUUGCUUAGAAAUCUCGCCUUUCUUUGCCUAUCAAUGCUGGGGCAUCCCAUGGAUAAUUGUUUAUGCUUAUGUGAAAUGUGAAAUGUGGAUUGAAUGUAGAAGAUAAUUUAUAUGAAUGUAGACUAUAUUGCAAGCUGAGGUCUUUCUUUAUCAAUAAAAAGAGGGUGUGGGCCAAAUCCUCAAAUGUAAAAUGGCGCAUUUAUAAUAGCAGUAAACUCAUUCCUAAUGAAUUUUUUGAUAAAUGAUAUUAACCAGCUAAGUUGACCAUUAAUGCUUAAAGCUAUUUGGAUAUUAGCAUGGAUGGUAGCAAAUAGACCCAGACUAGGGCUAAAAAUUUUUAAAUAUGUUGCAGUUGAAACAAAACAAUUGCAAUGUUUUUAACUAAAUUGUGAAGAUAAUGGGCGAGAAUCAUAAUGAUAGCUAUUGAUUGGUUUAUUUAAAUUACAAAAUAUAGGUUAUAAUCACUGACUAAAUUGAUAGAAUCUAUUUCCAAGUGUUUGACUAUACUUGUAAUAUAAAUGCAGUUUAUUGCUUGAAAGAGUUGUGCAUGUGAAAUAAAUUUUGAUUGGAUUUAUUUUCAUUCUGGGACAGACUAUAGGUUCCUUACAGAAGAAG
RNAcentral lists this unclassified non-coding RNA (747 nucleotides) under Hevea brasiliensis (rubber tree). The record is from RNAcentral. Lineage: Eukaryota; Viridiplantae; Streptophyta; Magnoliopsida; Malpighiales; Euphorbiaceae.